Molecule: unclassified non-coding RNA, 217 nt
Filed under: plant metagenome
Description: partial contains small subunit ribosomal RNA, internal transcribed spacer 1, and 5.8S ribosomal RNA
Rfam family: 5.8S ribosomal RNA (bases 169-217)
Source: RNAcentral
UCUCCGUUGGUGAACCAGCGGAGGGAUCAUUACCGAGUGCAAACUCAUAACCCUUUGUGAACCUAUAUCUGUUGCUUCGGCGGCUCGCUCUCGGGCGAGCCCGCCGGUAAUAUCAGUAUCUCUGUUUGAACCCGACGAUACUUCUGAGUGUUCUUAGCGAACAGUUAAAACUUUUAACAACGGAUCUCUUGGCUCUAGCUUCGUUGAAGAACGCAGC